Molecule: ribosomal RNA, 433 nt
Filed under: uncultured bacterium
Lineage: Bacteria
Description: partial 16S ribosomal RNA
Rfam family: Bacterial small subunit ribosomal RNA
Source: RNAcentral
AACGAACGCUGGCGGCAUGCCUAACACAUGCAAGUCGAACGAGACCUUCGGGUCUAGUGGCGCACGGGUGCGUAACGCGUGGGAACCUGCCCUUAGGUUCGGAAUAACUCUCCGACAGGGGUGCUAAUACCGGAUCAUGUCUUCGGACCAAAGAUUUAUCGCCUUUGGAUGGGCCCGAGUUGGAUUAGCUAGUUGGUAGGGUAAAAGCCUACCACGGCGACGAUCCAUAGCUGGUCUGAGAGGAUGAUCAGCCACACUGGGACUGAGACACGGCCCAGACUCCUACGGGAGGCAGCAGUGGGGAAUAUUGGACAAUGGGCGAAAGCCUGAUCCAGCAAGGCCGCGUGAGUGAUGAAGGCCUGAGGGUUGUAAAGCGCUUUUACCCGGGAUGAUAAUGACAGUACCGGGAGAAUAAGCUCCGGCUAACUCCGUG